ACAAUUUUCGGACCGUCGGUCUACCGGGCAAUUUCACCAGCUCGGAGCGAGACUUGCCUUUUGUCAU
Molecule: microRNA precursor, 67 nt
Filed under: Bombyx mori (domestic silkworm)
Lineage: Eukaryota; Metazoa; Arthropoda; Insecta; Lepidoptera; Bombycidae
Description: mir-2774 microRNA precursor family
Rfam family: mir-2774 microRNA precursor family
Source: Rfam by way of RNAcentral